ACACAAUGCUAUUCGCCAGAGAACUACAAGUGAAAAACUUAAAACUCCAAGGACUUGGCGGUGCUCCAUAUCGACCUAGAGGAGCCUGUCCUAUAAUCGAUACCCCCCGUUUCACCUUACCAUUUUUAGCAACUCAGCCUAUAUACCGCCGUCGUCAGCUUACCUAGUGAGAGAUUUAAAGUAGGCAAAACAGUUAUUUACUAACACGUCAGGUCAAGGUGUAGCACACAAAAUGGAAGAGAUGGGCUACAUUUUCUAACCUAGAAAAAACGAAGAUUGCAGUGAAAUCUGCCCUUUAAGGAGGAUUUAGCUGUAAGACAGACAAGAGAAUCUGCCUAAACCCCGCUUUGGAGCGCGC
This 358-nucleotide ribosomal RNA is filed under the name Eutropis macularia (bronze grass skink). Its description in RNAcentral is "partial 12S ribosomal RNA". It matches the Rfam family "Bacterial small subunit ribosomal RNA", at positions 857 to 1384 of the family's 1533-position model. Lineage: Eukaryota; Metazoa; Chordata; Lepidosauria; Squamata; Scincidae. The record is from RNAcentral.